UUUGCGCAUGGGCGAAAGCCUGNCGCAGCAAUUCCGCGUGGGGGACGAAGGCCCUAGGGUCGUAAACCCCUUUUGUGAAGGAAGAAGUUCUGACGGUACUUCACGAAUAAGACACGGCUAACUACGUGCCAGCAGCCGCGGUAAUACGUAGGUGUCAAGCGUUGUCCGGAUUUAUUGGGCGUAAAGCGCCCGCAGGCGGCUUGCCAAGUUUGAAGUGAAAUCUCCCGGCUCAACUGGGAGGGUGCUUCGAAAACUGGCAGGCUUGAGGCAGGGAGAGGGAUGUGGAAUUCCCGGUGUAGUGGUGAAAUGCGUAGAUAUCGGGAGGAACACCAGUGGCGAAGGCGGCAUCCUGGCCCUGUCCUGACGCUCAGGGGCGAAAGCGUGGGGAGCAAACCGGAUUAGAUACCCGGGUAGUCCACGCCGUAAACGAUGAGUACUAGGUGUAGGGGGUAUCGACCCCCUCUGUGCCGAAGCUAACGCGAUAAGUACUCCGCCUGGGGACUACGGCCGCAAGGCUAAAACUCAAAAGAAUUGACGGA
RNAcentral lists this ribosomal RNA (539 nucleotides) under uncultured bacterium. RNAcentral describes it as "bacterial SSU rRNA". It matches the Rfam family "Bacterial small subunit ribosomal RNA", at positions 363 to 917 of the family's 1533-position model. The record is from RNAcentral.